UACAGAGGGUGCGAGCGUUAAUCGGAAUUACUGGGCGUAAAGUGUGCGCAGGCGGCUUCGCAAGUCGAGUGUGAAAUCCCCGAGCUUAACUUGGGAAUUGCGCUCGAAACUACGGAGCUGGAGUGUGGCAGAGGAAGGUGGAAUUCCACGUGUAGCGGUGAAAUGCGUAGAGAUGUGGAGGAACACCGAUGGCGAAGGCAGCCUUCUGGGCCAACACUGACGCUCAUGCACGAAAGCGUGGGGAGCAAACAGG
This 253-nucleotide ribosomal RNA is filed under the name uncultured bacterium. RNAcentral's name for it is "partial 16S ribosomal RNA". It matches the Rfam family "Bacterial small subunit ribosomal RNA", at positions 524 to 776 of the family's 1533-position model. The record is from RNAcentral.